RNAcentral lists this ribosomal RNA (231 nucleotides) under uncultured Candidatus Saccharibacteria bacterium. RNAcentral describes it as "partial 16S ribosomal RNA". It matches the Rfam family "Bacterial small subunit ribosomal RNA", at positions 584 to 818 of the family's 1533-position model. The record is from RNAcentral. Lineage: Bacteria; Candidatus Saccharimonadota.
UAAGCGAGUGAUGAAUUUGAGGCUCAACCUCAAACUGUUCUCGAACUGGCAAACUAGAGUAUGUGAGGGGUACCUGGAAUUCCUAGUGUAGGAGUGAAAUCCGUAGAUAUUAGGAGGAACACCAAUGGCGAAGGCAGGGUACUGGCAUAUUACUGACGCUAAGGCACGAAAGCGUGGGGAGCGAACCGGAUUAGAUACCCGGGUAGUCCACGCCGUAAACGACGGAUGCUG